This 808-nucleotide ribosomal RNA is filed under the name Deniquelata vittalii. Its description in RNAcentral is "LSU rRNA". It matches the Rfam family "Eukaryotic large subunit ribosomal RNA", at positions 87 to 906 of the family's 3401-position model. The record is from RNAcentral. Lineage: Eukaryota; Fungi; Ascomycota; Dothideomycetes; Pleosporales; Didymosphaeriaceae.
CGGCGAGUGAAGCGGCUACAGCUCAAAUUUGAAAUCUGGCUCUCCCCCGGGGAGUCCGAGUUGUAAUUUGCAGAGGAUGCUUUGGCGUUGGCGGCGUCCCAAGUUCCCUGGAACCGGACAUCGCAGAGGGUGAGAAUCCCGUACGCGGUCGCCCGCCUCCGCCGUGUAAAGCUCCUUCGACGAGUCGAGUUGUUUGGGAAUGCAGCUCUAAGCGGGAGGUAAAUUUCUCCUAAAGCUAAAUACCGGCCAGAGCCCGAUAGCGCACAAGUAGAGUGAUCGAAAGAUGAAAAGCACUUUGGAAAGAGAGUCAAACAGCACGUGAAAUUGUUGAAAGGGAAGCGCUUGCCGCCAGACGUGCCCGCAGCCGCUCACCCAGGCCCCGCGCCUGGGGCACUCGGCCGCGGGCAGGCCAGCAUCGGUUCGGGCGGUCGGAUAAAGGCCUCUGUCACGUACCACCUCUCGGGGUGGCCUUAUAGGGGAGGCGACAUGCGACCAGCCCGGACCGAGGUCCGCGCGUACUGCUAGGAUGCUGGCGUAAUGGCUGCAAGCGGCCCGUCUUGAAACACGGAUCAAGGAGUCUAACAUCUACGCGAGUGUUUGGGUGUCAAGCCCGGGCGCGCAAUGAAAGUGAACGGAGGUGGGAACCCCUCGGGGUGCACCAUCGACCGAUCCUGAACUCUUCGGAUGGAUUUGAGUAGGAGCGUAGCUGUUGGGACCCGAAAGUAAGGUGAACUAUGCUUGAAUAGGGUGAAGCCAGAGGAAAACUCUGGUGAGGCUCGCAGCGGUUCUGACGUGCAAAUCGAUCGUC